RNAcentral lists this long non-coding RNA (1230 nucleotides) under Gopherus evgoodei (Goodes thornscrub tortoise). Its description in RNAcentral is "lncRNA (ENSGEVG00005012594.1)". The record is from RNAcentral. Lineage: Eukaryota; Metazoa; Chordata; Testudines; Testudinidae.
GGCUCUGUGCUGUGUGUCCUAGGGGCGAUCCAAUCUCCGCCAAUCUGCCUCGCUGCCCCGGAAGUCCACGGUUCCCUGGCAGCGCCACGCUGAGGAAGCAGCCAAGGCACAGACUGAGCUGUACGCCAUGCGGCCGCUGGAGAAGCAUGGGAAGCAAAUUGAGGAGCUGAGGAAGGAGUUGGCAGAGUCCAGGGAGAAGCAGAGGCUCUUUGAGAGCCAGCUGGAAAUGCUGGUCACCCAGAACCAGACACUGCUGGAGGAGCAGGCCAAAAGCCAGGGGCAGGAGGAGAGACUCCGGAGGCAGCUGGAGAAGCUGGAAACCCACCUGGCAAACCUCAGCACCAGGGUGGCGGCGGCAGAGGGCAGCCGGAGGAAGGACCAGGAGAAGCUGAGGGCCAGCGAGGAGAGGACGAAGCGUCUGGAGCGCCGCCUGUCGGCCCUGGAGCGGGAACACGCCGAGCUGCUCUGUGCCAUCAGUCAGCGGCCGGGAUUCCAGGACAAGCCACCCAACUCGCUGCUGAUGCCAGCGCCACAGGACGGGGCCGAGGACUGGCAGGAGGUUUAGCCAGCUUGGUGGGCCCAGACGGCCAGCCCCUGGGCCCUGCGUAGGACGCAUCCCACCCCAGCAGCUGCCACCCGCUUUGGAUACCCUGCCAGCCAGACCUUGUCUCUAGAAAUUUGUCACAGACCCAAGCCCAGCAGCUCUUUCCUGGUAUGAGUCCAGCCUGGGAGGUCCUGAGUCUGCCAGGGAUGUUGUUCCAGAUAAUGGAGUCCCAGAGAGCUGCAGGCUGCUGCUGUGAAUCCCCUGCAGCUCUCCACUCCCCAGGAGUGGUGGAGAGCGAUCAGAUUUGUGAGAGGCCCAUUCAGCCCCUCUCUCAUCCCAACUGGGGUUCCCUUCCCUAUUCCUGCAUCCAAAGGGUCCCCAGGUGCUUCCUUCUGAACUCCUCCCACACACUCCCGAUGCCUUGCUGCCCCCUUCGUCAUACCCAUGCUGCCAUCCCCAUAGUGGAACAUUGCCCCAACAUGCCCAAGCUUCCCUGGGGCUCUGGCUGCUGCAUAGCACCAGUUGCCCAGGGCCACUGCCCAGUAACUGCCAACAGGCCCAGCCCUGCGCCAGGGGCUGACUAGAAGGGAUGCGCCCGGACCAGUAUUCAGGCCUCAUUUGGCUCUUGGGGGAUUCAGGGAUGAGCUGCCACAGUGAGCUUGUCUCCGGGUUCGUGCUUGGGCCAU